RNAcentral lists this ribosomal RNA (250 nucleotides) under uncultured bacterium. RNAcentral's name for it is "partial 16S ribosomal RNA". It matches the Rfam family "Bacterial small subunit ribosomal RNA", at positions 524 to 773 of the family's 1533-position model. The record is from RNAcentral.
UACGUAGGUGGCAAGCGUUGUCCGGAUUUACUGGGCGUAAAGCGCGCGCAGGCGGAUUGGUCAGUCUGGGGUGAAAUCUCACGGCUCAACUGUGAGCGGUCCCUGGAUACUGCCAGUCUUGAGGGGUCUAGAGGAGAGCGGAAUUCCCGGUGUAGUGGUGGAAUGCGUAGAUAUCGGGAAGAACACCAGUGGCGAAAGCGGCUCUCUGGGGAUCACCUGACGCUGAGGCGCGAAAGCGUGGGGAGCGAAC